GCGAGGGUUGCCGAGCGGUCAAAGGCGAUGGAUUUAGGGUCCAUUCUCGCAGGAGUUCAGGGGUUCGAAUCCCUUCCCUCGCA
Molecule: transfer RNA, 83 nt
Filed under: Methanoregulaceae archaeon PtaB.Bin108
Lineage: Archaea; Methanobacteriati; Methanobacteriota; Methanomicrobia; Methanomicrobiales; Methanoregulaceae
Also listed under: 2 other names
Description: tRNA-Leu
Rfam family: tRNA
About the family: Transfer RNA (tRNA) molecules are approximately 80 nucleotides in length. Their secondary structure includes four short double-helical elements and three loops (D, anti-codon, and T loops). Further hydrogen bonds mediate the characteristic L-shaped molecular structure. tRNAs have two regions of fundamental functional importance: the anti-codon, which is responsible for specific mRNA codon recognition, and the 3' end, to which the tRNAs corresponding amino acid is attached (by aminoacyl-tRNA synthetases). tRNAs cope with the degeneracy of the genetic code in two manners: having more than one tRNA (with a specific anti-codon) for a particular amino acid; and 'wobble' base-pairing, i.e. permitting non-standard base-pairing at the 3rd anti-codon position.
Source: RNAcentral